Molecule: ribosomal RNA, 492 nt
Filed under: uncultured bacterium
Lineage: Bacteria
Description: partial 16S ribosomal RNA
Rfam family: Bacterial small subunit ribosomal RNA
Source: RNAcentral
AGUGAACGCUGGCGGUAGGCCUAACACAUGCAAGUCGAACGGCAGCACAGUAAGAGCUUGCUCUUACGGGUGGCGAGUGGCGGACGGGUGAGGAAUACAUCGGAAUCUACUUUUUCGUGGGGGAUAACGUAGGGAAACUUACGCUAAUACCGCAUACGACCUACGGGUGAAAGCAGGGGAUCUUCGGACCUUGCGCGAUUGAAUGAGCCGAUGUCGGAUUAGCUAGUUGGCGGGGUAAAGGCCCACCAAGGCGACGAUCCGUAGCUGGUCUGAGAGGAUGAUCAGCCACACUGGAACUGAGACACGGUCCAGACUCCUACGGGAGGCAGCAGUGGGGAAUAUUGGACAAAGGGCGCAAGCCUGAUCCAGCCAUACCGCGUGGGUGAAGAAGGCCUUCGGGUUGUAAAGCCCUUUUGUUGGGAAAGAAAAGCAGCAGGUUAAUACCCCGCUGUUCUGACGGUACCCAAAGAAUAAGCGCCGGCUAACUUCGUG